CUCUAGCAGACCGGAGGUAUUUGAUCUCAGAGCUGAAGCCACAGCAGCACAACAUUCAGCUGUGAUUCCACAUUUAUUCAACCUGAGAGAAAAUGGUCACUGUAACGUCCUGUGGUUCUCCUGCUGUGAUACAGUAAUCCUGUUAGAGCCAACAUGCAGCCAGGCGUACUGGAAUAUGCCAUGACAAGGAGAAAUCAGGAUUGAAAUUCCAGACUAAGCAGACAAAACAUUCAUAUCUAAAUUCAUGUGUGAAUGAGGAUUUCCUCAGGCCAGGAGGUGAUCUGGUACGACCUGAAGCUCAGUGUGUUAUUAAGGAACAGGUGGGGAUGGAAAGAACCAAAGACAGGAGUGCUUGGACUCAAUUUUCU
This is a long non-coding RNA of Paramisgurnus dabryanus, 368 nucleotides long. RefSeq lists it as uncharacterized. Lineage: Eukaryota; Metazoa; Chordata; Actinopteri; Cypriniformes; Cobitidae. The record is from RefSeq and is a predicted model, not a curated record.